RNAcentral lists this unclassified non-coding RNA (1265 nucleotides) under Hevea brasiliensis (rubber tree). Lineage: Eukaryota; Viridiplantae; Streptophyta; Magnoliopsida; Malpighiales; Euphorbiaceae. The record is from RNAcentral.
GUGAAUUUGUGUGUGUGAGCAUGCACACGGAUUUGUGCAUUUUGUAUGACUUUUUCUUUCAAGUAUGGACAAAUGCAUCUGGAGGCUCCAAUACUUGUCUCAAAUGUGCAGUUAAGCUUUUCAAAAAAAUUUAGUUUGUUCAAUUGAUUACAAAAAUUUUUAAACCAAUUAAGCCUAUGAAGAAUAUUAUAAUAUGUAAAUUCUAAUAAAGCUAAAAUUAGUAUUAUUUUAUUAUUUUUUAAUUUUUGGACAAAUACAUUAAUUUUUUAAUGUUAAAAGGACAAAAGAGCUAAGAUCAAUAAAGGUAAUUCAUACACACUUUUCUUGAAUUUUGUGCUGUAAUUGCUUCAUUAGGUAGACAAAUAUAUAGGGAAGUAUAAUAGAAUUGGGUUAUUGUUUAUGGUUAACAAGUAUUACUAAAAUUGACAAUAGAAUAAUCGCUGAAUUAGAUUUCAGAAGAAACCUACUUAAGCAAAAGAUGGUCAAAAUUCUAGAGAGAGAUUGCUAUGAAAUGUCUUGCUCCUGAAUCUCUAUGAUGAUGCUUGGUAGUGAGAACCUCUCUAAGGAUGGAGAUAAGCAUGGAUUCAUUCCUUUUUUCAACCAUUCCCUCAAAUUCAAGGGCCAUGUCCCUUUAUGUCUUUGAAUUUGAUUUUCCUUAGAAUCCUUCCACCUUGUUGCCGGCCAUCAUCCCCUAAUUAAAUCAUGGCAAGGCUGAACCUAUUGUAGAAACAAUUGUAGGUAGGGUUUAUUUCUUCCAUAACCUUCUUGCUUGUCAGUCACAGAAGAGAUGCCCAGAUGCUUUUUGAGGUUUUUGUUCCUUUCUCCGAUUUGUGGGAGGUGCUAAUUGAUCCUUCUUUCUAACUUGAAACUCAGUGUUCUCAUGGAGGCAAAAGUUCUCUGUAUGGUGAAUUCUAUGUGUUGAGAAACCUUUUUUUAUAUGGUGAUGGCAUUGAAAUGUAACAACAGAAUUGACAUGGGCACUGGAGAUUUUGGCAUUAUGGAACAUGGGUGAUGGGUCUACAUAUUCCCCUCCCUUGAGUGGAUUUUUAGAGUUUCUUUUUUCUUUGUAUGAAAUUUUUUGGUUCAACAUUAAAUGUUUUUUAUUCAAGAGUGGCUUAAUUCCUCAUUAAAAAGUAGUGCCUGAGCCUCUUGAUACAUUUGAUCUUCCUGUAUUUGAGCAUAUGGUGUGAUUUGCAUGCAUUUAGAAAGCCUCUUUAGUCUUUUUUCUUUGCAUGUUUGCAGAGAACAAAAAUGAGCGGGUGGUU